Unclassified non-coding RNA from Gorilla gorilla gorilla (western lowland gorilla), 269 nucleotides. It matches the Rfam family "Metazoan signal recognition particle RNA". Rfam says of the family: The signal recognition particle (SRP) is a universally conserved ribonucleoprotein. The record is from Ensembl. NCBI's taxonomy places the organism in Eukaryota, Metazoa, Chordata, Mammalia, Primates, Hominidae.
GCUGGGCAUGGUGGUACAUGCCUGUGGUCCUAGCUACUUGGGAGGCUGAGGUGAGAGGUUCGAUUGAGCCCAGGAGGUCAAGGUUGCAGUGAGCUGAGAUCUUGCCUAAAACUACAAAAAUCAGCUGGGUGUGGUGGCAGACGCCUGUAAUCCCAGCUACUCAGGAGACUGAGGCAGGAGAAUUGCUUGAACCCAGGAGGCAGAGGUUGCAGUGAGCCGAGAUCAUGCCAUUGCACUCCAGCCUGGGUGACAGAGCAAGACUCCAUCUU